GUGCUUUGAGAUAGGAUAGUUUAUUGGGUUUUGAAAAUGUCCUGGGAGACAGGGUAGAAGAUUUAACGAGAGGCCACAGAACAAAUUAAAAACCUCACACUAUAGGACACACAGGAAGGAGGUCAGUGCCUCAGGGAGGGGACACCUCUGUGCCAGCCCCCCCCCCAUCCCCUGCAGUUGUCCCCAGGAGGGGGCGGGAAUCAGGGUGGCAGGGACGGACUUGCAGCCUAGUUCCCUAUGGGUGCUCUGUCACUACUUGGAGGAGACACGGUAGAAAGUUAGCCUUUUCAUUGAUACUUUUUCCAUUUGGUCCUCUUUCAAAGUCUCGUCUAUUCUGCAGAACAGAAAAGAGUCCUGUGUCAGUCACAUUGAAAAUCUCACCUUUGUCCCUUAUUUCCUCAAGGCAGAGCGCAGAGAUCCUGGUGAUGCUCCAAGGGACAGACGCCCGUGAUGAGCAGAGGUGGCUGAGCCACCCUGACAGACACCACAUCCCCACGACUAGUGAGAAAGAUGCUGAACCUCGUCAGCUCUGAGCCAGUGACCAGACGCGGUGCAGGCAGGACCCGAGGCCCAGUGAUUCUCUGGGCCCCGCCUGCACCCUACGACACACUGACUCGGAUAUGACAGGCUCGGGGCCCCUGUGUCCUGCUUCUUCUGUGGACACAUGUGUCUCCUGUUUGAGAGGCCUCCGUAUGCCACUCCCUGGCGUGAACCCCGUCCCCAUGUACUGUCCCCUCAAUGCGCAUCUUGGCAAGAUGCUUCAGGGAGUGGGAAGAGAGCAGUGCUGGCCAUU
This 793-nucleotide long non-coding RNA is filed under the name Ictidomys tridecemlineatus (thirteen-lined ground squirrel). Its description in RNAcentral is "lncRNA (ENSSTOG00000031753.1)". Lineage: Eukaryota; Metazoa; Chordata; Mammalia; Rodentia; Sciuridae. The record is from RNAcentral.